Molecule: ribosomal RNA, 254 nt
Filed under: uncultured prokaryote
Description: partial 16S ribosomal RNA
Rfam family: Bacterial small subunit ribosomal RNA
Source: RNAcentral
UACGGAGGAUGCAAGCGUUAUCCGGAUUCAUUGGGUUUAAAGGGUGCGUAGGCGGAAAUGUAAGUCAGUGGUGAAAUCCUGCAGCUUAACUGUAGAAUAGCCGUUGAAACUGUGUUUCUUGAGUACAUUUGAGGUAGGCGGAAUGUGGUGUGUAGCGGUGAAAUGCAUAGAUAUACCACAGAACACCGAUUGCGAAGGCAGCUUACUAAACUGUCACUGACGCUGAUGCACGAAAGCGUGGGGAUCGAACAGGA